This 337-nucleotide long non-coding RNA is filed under the name Medicago truncatula (barrel medic). RNAcentral's name for it is "long non-coding RNA (MTRU_LNC007823)". The record is from RNAcentral. Lineage: Eukaryota; Viridiplantae; Streptophyta; Magnoliopsida; Fabales; Fabaceae.
AACCGAAUAGAAAAAACCCAUAUACGUCACAGAAUAUCUAUAUUACCCAGAAACCAUACUAACCAACCCAUUCAAAAUUAUUAAAUCAAUAAUUAUUUAUUUAAACAUAAAUUGAACCACAAUAUAUAUAGAUGUUUCCACGAUUGACAGGGACUUUUUUUUAGGGUGAGUUCACUUUUCAAUUUGAUCAACUAAACCAGAUCUGGAAAAAUAAAAUUCAUCUUCCGAGUCCAAAUAAAUCCAUCUCAGUAACAAACAAACACAAGAAAAACACACAAAUUGGUAUCCCGGCUGAAGAAUAAAAUUGAAGAACUGAGUCGGAAUCGAAGACGGAAAC